AUACGCUCGUCUCAAAGAUUAAGCCAUGCAUGUGUAAGUAUAAAUAUUUAACUUUGAAACUGCGAAUGGCUCAUUAUAUCAGUUAUAGUUUAUUUGAUGAAAAGUACUACUUGGAUAACCGUAGUAAUUCUAGAGCUAAUACAUGAUAAAAUCCUCGACUUUGAAGAGGUGUAUUUAUUAGAAUGAAACCAAUAGACUUCGGUCUGUUUGUGAGUAAUAAUAACUAAUCGUAUCGCAUGCUUAGGUAGCGAUAUGUCUUUCAAGUUUCUGCCCUAUCAGCUUUGGAUGGUAGUGUAUUGGACUACCAUGGCAGUAACGGGUAACGAAGAAUUUGGGUUCGAUUUCGGAGAGGGAGCCUGAGAGAUGGCUACCACAUCCAAGGAAGGCAGCAGGCGCGUAAAUUACCCAAUCCUGACAUAGGGAGGUAGUGACAAUAAAUCACAAUGCGGAACUAUUAGUUUUGCAAUUGGAUUGAGAACAAUGUACAAAUGUUAUCGAUAAACAAUUGGAG
Molecule: ribosomal RNA, 511 nt
Filed under: Blastocystis hominis
Lineage: Eukaryota; Bigyra; Opalinata; Blastocystidae
Description: SSU rRNA
Rfam family: Eukaryotic small subunit ribosomal RNA
Source: RNAcentral